UACGAAGGGGGCUAGCGUUGCUCGGAAUUACUGGGCGUAAAGCGCACGUAGGCGGAUUGUUAAGUCGGGGGUGAAAUCCUGGAGCUCAACUCCAGAACUGCCUUCGAUACUGGCGAUCUCGAGUUCGGGAGAGGUGAGUGGAACUGCGAGUGUAGAGGUGAAAUUCGUAGAUAUCAGGAAGAACACCCGUGGCGAAGGCGGUUCUCUGGGACGGUACUGACGCUGAGACGCGAAAGCGUGGGGAGCGAACAGG
This 253-nucleotide ribosomal RNA is filed under the name uncultured bacterium. RNAcentral's name for it is "partial 16S ribosomal RNA". It matches the Rfam family "Bacterial small subunit ribosomal RNA", at positions 524 to 776 of the family's 1533-position model. The record is from RNAcentral.